UCUGAGAGGAUGAUCCGCCACAUUGGGACUGAGACACGGCCCAAACUCCUACGGGAGGCAGCAGUGGGGAAUUUUGGACAAUGGGGGGAACCCUGAUCCAGCCAUGCCGCGUGUCUGAAGAAGGCCUUCGGGUUGUAAAGGACUUUUGUUAGGGAAGAAAAGCCGGGUGCUAAUACCACCUGGUGCUGACGGUACCUAAAGAAUAAGCACCGGCUAACUACGUGCCAGCAGCCGCGGUAAUACGUAGGGUGCGAGCGUUAAUCGGAAUUACUGGGCGUAAAGCGAGCGCAGACGGUUAAUUAAGUCAGAUGUGAAAUCCCCGAGCUCAACUUGGGACGUGCAUUUGAAACUGGUUAACUAGAGUGUGUCAGAGGGAGGUAGAAUUCCACGUGUAGCAGUGAAAUGCGUAGAGAUGUGGAGGAAUACCGAUGGCGAAGGCAGCCUCCUGGGAUAACACUGACGUUCAUGCUCGAAAGCGUGGGUAGCAAACAGGAUUAGAUACCCUGGUAGUCCACGCCCUAAACGAUGACAAUUAGCUGUUGGGACACUAGAUGUCUUGGUAGCGAAGCUAACGCGUGAAAUUGUCCGCCUGGGGAGUACGGUCGCAAGAUUAAAACUCAAAGGAAUUGACGGGGACCCGCACAAGCGGUGGAUGAUGUGGAUUAAUUCGAUGCAACGCGAAGAACCUUACCUGGUCUUGACAUGUACGGAAUCUCUUAGAGAUAGGAGAGUGCCUUCGGGAACCGUAACACAGGUGCUGCAUGGCUGUCGUCAGCUCGUGUCGUGAGAUGUUGGGUUAAGUCCCGCAACGAGCGCAACCCUUGUCAUUAGUUGCCAUCAUUAAGUUGGGCACUCUAAUGAGACUGCCGGUGACAAACCGGAGGAAGGUGGGGAUGACGUCAAGUCCUCAUGGCCCUUAUGACCAGGGCUUCACACGUCAUACAAUGGUCGGUACAGAGGGUAGCGAAGCCGCGAGGUGAAGCCAAUCUCAGAAAGCCGGUCGUAGUCCGGAUUGCACUCUGCAACUCGAGUGCAUGAAGUCGGAAUCGCUAGUAAUCGCAGGUCAGCAUACUGCGGUGAAUACGUUCCCGGGUCUUGUACACACCGCCCGUCACACCAUGGGAGUGGGGGAUAUCCAGAAGUUGGGUAGACUAACCGCAAGGAGGUCGCUUAA
RNAcentral lists this ribosomal RNA (1174 nucleotides) under Snodgrassella alvi. RNAcentral describes it as "bacterial SSU rRNA". It matches the Rfam family "Bacterial small subunit ribosomal RNA", at positions 291 to 1457 of the family's 1533-position model. The record is from RNAcentral. Lineage: Bacteria; Pseudomonadati; Pseudomonadota; Betaproteobacteria; Neisseriales; Neisseriaceae.